This 35-nucleotide ribosomal RNA is filed under the name Amanita sinensis. RNAcentral's name for it is "partial 28S ribosomal RNA". Lineage: Eukaryota; Fungi; Basidiomycota; Agaricomycetes; Agaricales; Amanitaceae. The record is from RNAcentral.
UUGACCUCACAUCAGGUAGGACUACCCACUGAACU